GGUUAAGCGACUAAGCGUACACGGUGGAUGCCCUGGCAGUCAGAGGCGAUGAAGGACGUGCUAAUCUGCGAUAAGCGUCGGUAAGGUGAUAUGAACCGUUAUAACCGGCGAUUUCCGAAUGGGGAAACCCAGUGUGUUUCGACACACUAUCAUUAACUGAAUCCAUAGGUUAAUGAGGCGAACCGGGGGAACUGAAACAUCUAAGUACCCCGAGGAAAAGAAAUCAACCGAGAUUCCCCCAGUAGCGGCGAGCGAACGGGGAGCAGCCCAGAGCCUGAAUCAGUGUGUGUGUUAGUGGAAGCGUCUGGAAAGGCGCGCGAUACAGGGUGACAGCCCCGUACACAAAAAUGCACAUGCUGUGAGCUCGA
This 368-nucleotide ribosomal RNA is filed under the name Escherichia coli. Its description in RNAcentral is "partial 23S ribosomal RNA". It matches the Rfam family "Bacterial large subunit ribosomal RNA", at positions 1 to 409 of the family's 2925-position model. Lineage: Bacteria; Pseudomonadati; Pseudomonadota; Gammaproteobacteria; Enterobacterales; Enterobacteriaceae. RNAcentral also lists the same sequence under 1 other name. The record is from RNAcentral.